AUACUUACCUGGCAGGGGAAAUACCAUGAUCACGAAGGUGGUUUUCCCAGGGCGAGGCUCACUCAUUGCACUUCGGGUGUGCUGACCCCUGCGAUUUCCUCAAAAGGGGGAAACUCGACUGCAUAAUUUGUGGUAGAGGGGGACUGCGUUCGCGCUUUCCCCUG
RNAcentral lists this small nuclear RNA (164 nucleotides) under Catagonus wagneri (Chacoan peccary). RNAcentral's name for it is "U1 spliceosomal RNA (ENSCWAG00000018453.1)". It matches the Rfam family "U1 spliceosomal RNA". From Rfam's summary of the family: U1 is a small nuclear RNA (snRNA) component of the spliceosome (involved in pre-mRNA splicing). Its 5' end forms complementary base pairs with the 5' splice junction, thus defining the 5' donor site of an intron. The record is from Rfam by way of RNAcentral. Lineage: Eukaryota; Metazoa; Chordata; Mammalia; Artiodactyla; Tayassuidae.